This 199-nucleotide ribosomal RNA is filed under the name uncultured bacterium. Its description in RNAcentral is "partial 16S ribosomal RNA". It matches the Rfam family "Bacterial small subunit ribosomal RNA", at positions 328 to 539 of the family's 1533-position model. The record is from RNAcentral.
ACGCUCGACACCUACGGGAGGCAGCAGUCGGGAAUAUUGCGCAAUGGAGGAAACUCUGACGCAGUGACGCCGCGUAUAGGAAGAAGGUUUUCGGAUUGUAAACUAUUGUCGUUAGGGAAGAAAAAAGACAGUACCUAAGGAGGAAGCUCCGGCUAACUACGUACCAGCAGCCGCGGUAAUCUGAGCGGGCUGGCAAGGC